UGAGUUCCCAAUGUAUCACAUGCAUGGCAAGCGAGGACAGCUACAUGGUGGGGGUUUUCCGAAUGACAUGGUAUGUUCUUGCCCUUAAACUGUCCAACUGUAAAGGUCAUAUAAUGUUUUGCCAUUCUUCUUUCCCCCAAGUGAAUUAAUAAAGGUUCAUUGAUUAAUCAAGAACUGAUAGCAGUUGCUGUAUGUUUGGGCCCCGUGCCCAUUAAUUAAAGCAAACUUUUUUGGUUAUUUGUCAUCAACUUGCAUGUCAAGUUAAAUGUGCAUAAAUGUGCAAUGCUUUAACCACCUUUGACAUUUGCUUUUUUGUGCAAUUAUUUAAUCAUAGAAUUUGAAUGAGAUUCAAGGUAAUAUGAUAUCUGACUUAAUUGCAUGAACACUAUAAUAACAAUGUAUUUUUUAGGCACAAGUCCUCCUCUACUGUAAUGGUGAGGGUGAACACUGAGCAGCAUCCACUUAUGACAGUGGAUCUCACAGAUCAGGUUUCUAGCCCAGGGAUUUCCCCAUACACCCUGCUUGGAUGGGGGUACUCUGUGUGCAGCUCCCCCAGACGUUUUCUCUACAAUCACUGUGACUCAGCUGUCUCUACACCACCCUAGUAGGCUACUACUACUGCUGUACCUCCAGCCAAGUGGCCAGAGCAGGCUCUAAAGUGAGAACGUUACACAAUGCUGGCAUCAUAUUACAGCUACCCUGCUGGAGAAGAUGGCGUCCAAUCUGCUCGUCUUGAAUGGAGGCUUGGUGGUCCAGCUACACGCCAUCCUGCAGUGUCACGAGGACACAGAGCCAGGGUCUUCCACGGUUUCGAGAAGGUGCCUUCCUAUCCCCUGCACCCGGCCGUCUCGCUCAGGGAGCCGGAGAGCAGGAUGACCUUCAGAUGAUGAGGUCAAGGGGCUAUGCCAUGGUGAUGCUUCAGCUCAGAAAAUGGAGAGUAGUCCUGGAAGUGGAAUUAUUAGAAAGAACAUUCCCAUUCAAGUCUUAUGUUCUGUGAUGGAUCUGUCAUUUAAGAGGGUUUCAGAGGAGAGUUUCUAUGUCAUCCCCUGUAGGUCACAGAAGGAGAGGUGAUGGAUUACUGUUUGAAUUUGCAUAAAGAAAUACAACCUAAAUAAAUUAGAUUGAUACGCUUCAUGUAUUUAUUUACAUUUUUACUUAAGACUGUAAAGUAUAAUGGCUAAGGAUAGCUAUAAAGUACAUACAAUGAAAUUAAAGUACUUUUUUCUGCAGUGGGCUAAAUCAGGGCCACAGUGUUUCUUGGUAGUCUUAAACUAAUCUACUUUGAAACAGAAGUAUAUACAUCACACACAUGGUUAUGGGCUUUAAAAAAAGAAGGCACCUGUACCAUGUCACAUAUAGAGUUGAAAUUUAUUCCAUUUUGCAUCCCAAGUUUACACUUUAUAUACAUCAUAAAAGACUGAAAUAUAACCAAACCGUCUUUAAAUAGAACACCGGAUAUAAUGUUUAAAAUUAUGAAAUUAUAAGAAAUAUUUACAUUCUACCAAUGAGGGUGCUUUUGGUUGUUUGACUGCAGGAAAGGGUUUUAAAAUGAAAUGUCAAAUGCAUUGCCAGAUGCAUAUGACUAGGUGAAAUACAUUGAAAAAGUAAAACAAAAGAAACAAUGUCUCAAAAUAUUGGAGUCUUUAUUCUUAUGGAAUAUAUAAAUGAUUGGACUGCAGAUAUCCAAGGUGGCCAUCUGCAUUGUCACGGGUGUACUGCAGAUAUCAUAAUCUCUUCCUCUGUUCACAGCUAUGAGUUCAUUCAUCAUGCAAAGGCUCUUUUCUGACCUCUAGUGGAGUCUAAUAGAUCCUCAGGGUCCAUUGUGUGAGGUUCACCAUCUCAACUUGCCUGACGACACAAGGUAACUGAAAUCUUCAGCCGUUCUGUUUGCUACGUACUUCAGUCAGACGGACACAGUUGAAGUCAAAAUUAGGUCAUCAGCAAUUGGAUCAUCUCUAACCAAUCAGAGUAUCAAAGCCAAUGAAGAAUUUUCAUAGCGCCAUUGAGGACUUCCACCAUUUUAAUGUAAUCAACUGGAUGGGACUUCCAACAUUUAUUGGCUGAUCCCUCCUGGUGGCCAUGUUGGAGUCAUGUCCAACCGGGUCAUCAGGAGGGAUCAGCCAACCUGAAGAAGAAAAUUAACUACUUCAAAAUGAAGAUAGCCUAAAUGGUGCUGCACAUGCUGUCACAGACGCUAUGUCACAGAUAAAAAGAUGAGUCCUCUAUCAAUGCGCUUUACCCACGUGUGUAUUGGCUCUGGCCCAACCCAUCAGUUUCUGGGACCAAUCAGAGUGGUUAGAAUGUGUUUUCAUUCUAGAAAUUGUCAGGAAGGUACUCCGAUCCAGACUCAGAAGACACUAACAUCUGUGGGCGUGGCAUAGCGUUUGGCCGGAUCAAGGAGUUUGGUUAGCCAGGCAACAUCUCAACUACUGCCUGAAACCAAAAUAAAGUCUUAAAGAAAGCUCAAAGAAAGUAUGAAUGGGUCAAUGUACACUGUAAAACACAGAUUAGAUUUUUACUUCUGAAAAUAUCUGCCUUACGUUUAUGGUAAUAGAACUGCGUGAUCAUAAUGUUUGUUUUAUUUUAAAACACCAAGGCAAAGACUAUGCUAAGACAGGCAGCCCAAUUCUGAUCUUUUCACAUCAGAUCUUUUUCAGAGCUGAUCUGAUCUGAUUGGUAAAAAAAAACAAUUAGUGAAGAAAAAAAAACAUCAGAAUUUGGGCUGCCUAUCUAAACGCAGCCAAAGUGACACAAAGUCUUAGUUGAGAUGUGUUACCUGAACACAGUGCUGUAGAUGACUGGGUCAUCCUGGGCCUGUUUCCCCCUAGGAGUGGGUCUACAAACAGAAACACAGUCAUUAUCAUGGUUGUGGAAUUCUAUUGUUGUUACCAUUAUCUUUUACAUUAUAAUUGUUAUUAUUCAAAUCAUUGUUGAUAAAGACUGGUUUAUACUAAGUCUAAAAACAUGGCUGUAGACCGUUAGAAUAUGAAGAAGUGUCGUUGGCAAAAACUACAUUCCCUUUAUACGCAGGACUGUCAUUUCGACGGUCAUUGUUGCAGAGAGGAUAUAACGGGUUGGUACCUGGAUACUACACUGUAGAGGUCCUCCUUGGCUUGUUGUUCCCUGAACAUGUGGAAACAGAAACAAACAUUGUUAUUGGUUAUCACAAAAAAAAUCCAAAUAAAAUGUUCAUAUUAAGUGUAUUUCUUUAAAGUAGCUUUCUUACCAUAUAGAGCUGUAGAUGGCCGUAGUUUCCUCCUUCUGCUGUUCUCUAACAGAGGACGUGAACACAAACACAGUGCAGUUGGUUAAGGUAACAUCACCCAUUGAUUUGUGUAUUGUUUAAUCAAUUAUCACUUUACUUACAUGUUUGCCCUUUGCUUGGUGUUGAUGUGCACUGUUGUAUAGCUGACAUCUUCCUGUUGCGAUGGUUCCUCCUCUCUCCACUCUUCUGUCAGACUACAGUCUGAUGUGAGACUGGUUACAUGCGCUUCUGUGGUCUAGACAGAGAAAAUACUGGCAGUGAACAGCAGAACUUUCUGCACAAUAGUUAAAAAAUAUUUGGGCAAAACAAAGUUCAGCUAUGAUAUUUC
Oncorhynchus kisutch (coho salmon) is the source of this 3593-nucleotide long non-coding RNA. The record is from Ensembl. Lineage: Eukaryota; Metazoa; Chordata; Actinopteri; Salmoniformes; Salmonidae.